This is a long non-coding RNA of Grammomys surdaster, 3032 nucleotides long. RefSeq lists it as uncharacterized. The record is from RefSeq and is a predicted model, not a curated record. The transcript has 3 exons. NCBI's taxonomy places the organism in Eukaryota, Metazoa, Chordata, Mammalia, Rodentia, Muridae.
CCAAGGCUCCACCACGUGCUCGCCCGCCCGGUCCCUGCUCCGUGCGCGUCCCUUGGGUGUGGGAAAGGCGACCAGCCUCGCGCAGCCCGGAUUUGUCCUCUCCCAGGUGGAGGCACGGCGUCCGGACGGCUCCGGGUCCUGGGCACGCUGGGGGCUCCCGCCCGCCCAGUAGUAGUCCGGUGACAGGGACAUCGCCUACUUAGGAAGUAAAUGCGAUCAGAGAUGGGAAAGUAGAAAGAUGCAAGACAGUUCCAGUGUUAACAAGGACGGAGAUGCAAUGCUGUGUCCAGGAUGCUGAUGAACUUAAGAUGUGUUAGAUGGAAAAUUUGACUUGCCAGGCAUAAUUCCAGGGACAAUUCUUGGCCAAGGAUGAGAACUCUAACCUGACUGGAUACACUACCCUGAUGGGUUAAAGGAUUUACCUGAGGCCAACAGAACAGGCAGGAAUUCAGUGCAUUCAUCCUUUUUAAAUUAGAUGAAGGUCGUGAGGAACAUAGUGAGAGGGCUUAGCAGUGCCAAGCCUGGUUACCUUUGAUUCUGGGACCUGGUGGGGAGAACCAACUCUCUAGAGUUAUUCUUGGACCUUCAUGUGUGUGCUAGCACACCUGUGUGCACACACUAAAAAAUAAAUAUAAUAAAUGAAGAGAGUUAAUACUUAGAGAAAGAUAUGGCUUUGCAUUUAAAAUUGUGUUAAAAUAUUCCUGAGCAGACGUACCUACCCAGUGUACUGGGUAGUACUUUAAGGAUUCUGUUUAUGCAAAAAGAUAGUUAAUGUCAACAUAGUCUACACUUCAAUGUUUCUGUGUUUAUUAUAUAAUGGUUCCAGGCCUAAUGACCUGUGAUGUUUCUUCUGCAGCUCUGGACCUUGAGAUGAACUGGUCUAAUUUCCUGAAGAGAAGGUCUUUAUCAAGGAAAAGCCAGUGAAACUACCUGAUGGUGAGUAAACUAGAAGUUCCUGACAGUUUCCUCAGAUUUACCAUCACCUGCUUCCUGACCUGCUUUGAUCCCUCAGACUGUCCCCCUUAUGAACAAAAGGAUGGUCUGUUGCACAGCAGCCCUAUGGUUUGGUACCAGUGCUGCAGGUACUUAAAAUGGCUGCCCAAAAUUAAACUAAUGGUGAAUAGCCAUUAGGAAAUAGAAACCUACCUCCGAUAUUUCUUAGGAAUCUUGUGAUCUGGACACUCUUUUCCUCAUUCCUCCCUAAAUGGCCUACUACCAUGGGGAAAGUUCGACCUGCCACUUAUAGUUCCAGCCCUCACAGCCUAGGAGCAGGGCAGGUAGGCUGGUUGGAGCUAAUUGGGUUGCUGAGGGACUGCCCCAGAACCAGGCUAGUGGUCUUAUACUACACAGAUGUCUCCAUAUCUUCAUUAUUGAACCACAAGCGGGACCCUGAAAGCUCCCAAAAUAUGUGGUGCACCAACAUAAGGUACAAGAUCCAGAUUAAGUCCAGACACAAGAUCUCCCCAGACACACAGGUGUAGUGUAGACAUUGGGCUGAACACAAGAAACUGAGAAUUCAAGACCUCAGAAUUGGUCAUGUAUGCUCAGAACAGCCAGUCCUCAGGACAGAGUUCAGGGAAGCUUAAGUGCAGAUACAGUAAAUUUGGAAGCAUCGAGAGAAUUUAAGUAGAAGCAUUUGUAAAUGUACAUAGAUGCUGAAGAAAGGAAAGAAAUUGAGUAUAGAUAGUUAAUAUAAGGAAAAUGUUAAUAAUAGAAUAUAAUAAAGUAAAGCAUCUGAAGUAAAGAGUUAGCAAGAUUUAAAAAGGAGAAUAUUUUCCAUGUUAAAAAAUGGAAAAUACUAUAGCAGAAGGCAUCUGGACCCUGUAUAGUUCCAUUUUAGUUAUCAUGGGGCAUGUGGGUUACAAUAGGUUUAACAAUAGCAGUUUACUGUGCCCUCUAAUCAGGCCAAAGAAGAAAGGAAUAAAUCUUGUCCUCUCUCAAAUUCACAAGGAGCAGACUUAUAUAAGGAGAGGAGGAACACUAGUGUUAAAGCUGUAGAACCAAAGUAGAGAAUCUUUUAAGUCAGAAUAAAAGGUUUUCUCUAUUCAGGUCAGAAGAAUGCCCUGCAAUACCAACUUAUGACAAGAUUGCAGGAUGGCAGUUCAAGCCUAUUAGAAAGCCCACAGUGACUUUCUCAUUCAUUCUAAGACAGCUACCCACAGAUGAGAGAAACUCAUAAUGUUACAAUGAAUUUGGUUGGCAACACAGAGAUACUAGAUCUAAGGAGAUUUCAGGAGGCAAUGGUAGACUACUGAACACACCCUAUGUGAAACAAGUAUUAUAUAUAACUAAGACUAAGCAACUGACCCAAUCCUGAGAUGGCUCUAGGAAAGGGCAUUAGGCCCCAAGGGAGAGUUUCAUGUUCCUAGCUCCAGGACAAUUUAUCAGAAACAACUCUGAUAAAACACUUCUCAGAAAAACCAUACAAUUUACUGGCCUUCACCUUUGCCCUCUGGGGAAUGAAGGUACUCCGCUAGGAUGAUACAAUAUUGGUCCAGCCAAUCAGCCAAAAGGUUGAAAGAAAAUAAGAAAAAAUGUUUUAUCCCUAACAGACUAGCAGACAGAGUAGAGCCAAGAGUGCAGGUCAGCUGAUUCAUGAGCUCUGUGUUCCAGGAACUUGGCUGACCACAGAAUACAUGGUUGAGUAAGAUUGAGUUCUUGUGAAAAACCCUUACAGGAUGUUUCCCCCUUGACCAAUUCGUGAACCUGGUCAUACACUGAAUAAUGGGCUGGUACUUUCCACUAGAAUUUUCCAGUAACUCCCCCUCACUCCCCUGGUGUGUGGUUUUCUCCUUUAAAUACCCUACACUCCCCGUGUUGGGGGUCAAACUUCUCUGCCCCUGCAUGGGUUACAAGUCCCGACCCCAGCUUGUUGGUCCUGAAAUAAACCUCUUGCUGUUGCAUCAAGAUCGGUGUCUCAUGAGUCAUUAGGUGGCUGCGAUCUCCCACAACUUGAGUGAGGGUCUCCCAUCUCGGGGGUCUUUCAAGGUCACCCUAACUACCCAUCACCAAGUGCCUCGUUGUUACUGUAA